CCCAUAGCCAGGCCUCAGCCUGUCCCCAGCACCAAACUCAGCAAAAUGGGGAAAACAUCCCAAAAAGGCCUGGGAUGGACGGACAGACGGACUGAGGGAUGGAUGGACAGACGGACUGAGGGACGGAUGGAUGGAUGGAUGGAUGGAUGGAUGGAUGGAUGGAUGGAUGGAUGGAUGAAUGGAUGGAUGUGAGUUCAGGUGUGUUCAAGCAGGUUCAGGUGAGUUCAGGUGUUCGCAGGUGUGCUCAGGUGUGCUCAGGUGAGUUCAGGUGUUCACAGGUGAAUUCAGGUGUGCUCAGGUGAGUUCAGGUGUUCACAGCUGUGUUCAGGUGUGUGCAGGUGUGUUCAGGUGUGUUCAGGUGUGCUCAGGUGAGUUCAGGUGUGCUCAGGUGUUCACAGGUGUUCGCAGGUGUGCUCAGGUGCGUUCAGGUGUGCUCAGGUGAGUUCAGGUGUGCUCAGGUGUUCACAGGUGUGCUCAGGUGUGUUCAGGUGUGCUCAGGUGAGUUCAGGUUUUCACAGGUGUGUUCAGGUGUGCUCAGGUGUGCUCAGGUGUGCUCAGGUGUGUUCAGGUGUGCUCAGGUGAGUUCAGGUGUUCUCAGGUGUGCUCAGGUGUGCUCAGGUGUGCUCAGGUGUUCAGGUGAGUUCAGGUGUAUGCAGGUGUGUUCAGGUGAGUUCAGGUGUUCACAGCUGUGUUCAGCUGUGUUCAGGUGUGCUCAGGUGAGUUCAGGUGUGCUCAGGUGAGCUCAGGUGUGCAGGUGGGUCUGACAGGUGCCAGCCCAAGCUCCGUCGGUGCCUCCAGCCCAGACUUGCCCGGCACGAGGGCGGCACACGCCGGGCACGGGGCGGGCGCGGCAGCUGCGCCCGGGACUCGAGCCGGGGUUCGGGAUCCCGGGUUUGGGACCGGAGCGCUCGGGGCUUCCCUCCAGCCGGGCCUCGCGCCGCUGCUCCCCGCCCUAAAUCCCGCCUUAGUCCCGGUUUAUCCGGGAGGAAUUUCCAGAGAUAACCCCGAAGGGUGGGUCCAGACCCUGCAGGACGCCCCCACAGCCCCCCAAGACCACCGAGUCCCCCCAGGGAGCAGAGGGGACCCCCUGAAGCUUUGACAGCCCCACCUGAGCCCCCUGUCCCCAUCGGGGGGACACGGGGAACACGGAGGGACACGGGGGGAUGUGAGGUGAUGGGUGGGGGACGUUUUGGGGAUGGGGGAACUCGGGGGGACACGAGGAGAGGAAACUGGGGGUGCCAGGUGACACGGGAGGGACACAAGGGAGGGACGUGGGGGGGUCACAGGGACAUGGGGGAUGUUUGGGGGCACAGGGGGAAGCCGCGAGGGGGAACACGUCACCCACCGGGAACGCCCGGAAUGUUCCCGAUAAGGCCCAGGGUGGGAGCAGCCCCGACACCCCCGCCCCUCCCCACGCACCCUUCAGGGGUCCCAGGGGGUCCCCAAAGAGGGACGAGGCUGCUGGACCCCGGCAGGGACCCCCUGGGACCCUCGGGUCCGGCACCUCGGGGACCCCGCGGGGAAAGCGGGGACAAAAGGGGGAGAAGAGGCAAAAAGAGGAAGAAAGGGGAAGAUGGAGCAGAACGGGGUAAAAUUUGGCAUAAGUGGGGGAAACAGGAAUGGGGCUAAGCAGAAAAAAACAGAAAAAAUGGGGCGAACGGGAAAUGGGAGAAAAAGGGGAAGGAAUGAGGCAAAAUGGGGAGAAACGGCAGAAAAUGGGGAUAAACUGGCAAAAUUGGGCAGAGAGGGCAAAAAGGGGUAAAUGGGACGGGAAUGGGGUAAAACAGGGCAAGAUCAGGCAAAAGGGUUAACGUGGACAAGAAUAGGACAAAACAAAAAAUAGGGCAAAAAUUAGUAAAACGGGACAAAAUGGGGCAAAAGAGCGAAAUGGGAAGAUUUGGCAUAAAUAGAGUCGAAUGGA
This is a long non-coding RNA of Oenanthe melanoleuca, 1921 nucleotides long. RefSeq lists it as uncharacterized. NCBI's taxonomy places the organism in Eukaryota, Metazoa, Chordata, Aves, Passeriformes, Muscicapidae. The record is from RefSeq and is a predicted model, not a curated record. The transcript has 3 exons.